CCUACGGGGGGCAGCAGUGGGGAAUAUUGGACAAUGGGGGCAACCCUGAUCCAGCCAUGCCGCGUGUGUGAAGAAGGCCCUCGGGUUGUAAAGCACUUUCAGUGAGGAAGAACGCCUGGUGGUUAAUACCCAUCAGGAAAGACAUCACUCACAGAAGAAGCACCGGCUAACUCCGUGCCAGCAGCCGCGGUAAUACGGAGGGUGCGAGCGUUAAUCGGAAUUACUGGGCGUAAAGCGCGCGUAGGUGGCUUGAUAAGCCGGUUGUGAAAGCCCCGGGCUCAACCUGGGAACGGCAUCCGGAACUGUCAAGCUAGAGUGCAGGAGAGGAAGGUAGAGUUCCCGGUGUAGCGGUGAAAUGCGUAGAGAUCGGGAGGAAUACCAGUGGCGAAGGCGGCCUUCUGGACUGACACUGACACUGAGGUGCGAAAGCGUGGGUAGCAAACAGGAUUAGAUACCCGGGUAGUC
RNAcentral lists this ribosomal RNA (465 nucleotides) under Vreelandella stevensii. Its description in RNAcentral is "partial 16S ribosomal RNA". It matches the Rfam family "Bacterial small subunit ribosomal RNA", at positions 338 to 795 of the family's 1533-position model. Lineage: Bacteria; Pseudomonadati; Pseudomonadota; Gammaproteobacteria; Oceanospirillales; Halomonadaceae. The record is from RNAcentral.